Heterocephalus glaber (naked mole-rat) is the source of this 657-nucleotide non-coding RNA. Lineage: Eukaryota; Metazoa; Chordata; Mammalia; Rodentia; Bathyergidae. The record is from RefSeq and is a predicted model, not a curated record.
UCCACGGGCAGUGUGGACCUCCCCUUUCUCACUUAGAGGUCACGUAACUCACCCCACAUCAUCAUACAGGGGUGUCACAGUCCAGUGUCAUGACUCAGGGCUUCCGUGACCGACAGCAGAACAGGGAUGCCCUCAGGGUGAAGCUUGUGGGUUCCUGUGCUGUGACUCAGUGUCCUGGGGGAUCGCCAGGAGGCAGAAAGACAAUGUCAUCCUGGGAGGAUUUUCCCACACCCACUUCCACCUGGGGAUACUCCUUGGGACAGAGCUGCCCCCGCAACUCCAGGCAGGACUUCUGGGACACUUUCAGCAAACACUGGACCUCGCCAGAGUCUGGUGGGAAGAGGUGAAUGAGACUGGUUUCAGCUGACCCGAGUCUAUGGGCUAAAUCAAGGAUGGGGGCCAUGGAGAGCAAGGAUGCUGGAAGGACCAAAAGGAAUGAUGAUGUGAAGAUCCAAGUGCUGUGCCAGGCACAAAGAAGAAACUGAACAGUCACUAUUGCUGGGCACAGUACAGCAUACCUACAAUCCCAGCUACUCGGGAGGCUGAAGCAGGAGGAUGACAAGUUUAAGUUUAUCCCCAGUGCAAGAACAGUGCCUGGUACACAGCAGGUACUCGAGCGCUGAACAAACCCUGACUGCCGUGUGACUGGACAACCAC